GAAAUCAACCGAGAUUCCCCCAGUAGCGGCGACCGAAAGGGGAGGAGCCCAGAGUCUUAAUCAGUUUUUGUGAUAGUGGAAUCGUCUGGAAAGUCGCACGGUACAGGGUGAUAGACCCGUACACCAAAAUGCACAGGCUGUGAACUAGAUGAGAUGGGCGGGACACGUGCCAUCCUGUCUGAAUAUGCGGGGACCAACCUCCAAGGCUAAAUACUCCUGACUGACCGAUAGUGAAGCAG
Molecule: ribosomal RNA, 239 nt
Filed under: Yersinia pestis
Lineage: Bacteria; Pseudomonadati; Pseudomonadota; Gammaproteobacteria; Enterobacterales; Yersiniaceae
Description: partial 23S ribosomal RNA
Rfam family: Bacterial large subunit ribosomal RNA
Source: RNAcentral